AGAUGUGAGGGUAAUUCAGCUGUGGCAUUUGUCACCCCAUUGAGUUGGUUCGAAUGGCCUGACAAGGAGGUGUCCCCUUCCUCCCUCACUGUUCCAUGUGCAUCCCUCCUGAAGCUGUGGGCUUGGCAGAAGAGGGCAACUAUCCCUCUUCUGGGUAAUCUUACCAAAACUUUGGCCUUCCAGAAGCAAACAUUUAAAGUAUAAAAAACCUUCACAGAGUUUAGUUUUAU
RNAcentral lists this small RNA (230 nucleotides) under Salvator merianae (Argentine black and white tegu). Its description in RNAcentral is "7SK RNA (ENSSMRG00000023438.1)". It matches the Rfam family "7SK RNA", at positions 1 to 252 of the family's 331-position model. Rfam says of the family: 7SK was discovered as an abundant small nuclear RNA in the mid-70s but a possible function has only recently been suggested. Lineage: Eukaryota; Metazoa; Chordata; Lepidosauria; Squamata; Teiidae. The record is from RNAcentral.